Molecule: ribosomal RNA, 375 nt
Filed under: uncultured organism
Description: bacterial SSU rRNA
Rfam family: Archaeal small subunit ribosomal RNA
Source: RNAcentral
CCAGCACCCCGAGUGGUCGGGACGAUUAUUGGGCCUAAAGCAUCCGUAGCCGGUUUUACAAGUCCUCCGUUAAAUCCAACUGCUUAACAGAUGGGCCGCGGAGGAUACUAUAAGACUAGGAGGCAGGAGAGGCAAGCGGUACUCAGUGGGUAGGGGUAAAAUCCGUUGAUCCAUUGAAGACCACCAGUGGCGAAGGCGGCUUGCCAGAAUGCGCUCGACGGUGAGGGAUGAAAGCUGGGGGAGCAAACCGGAUUAGAUACCCGGGUAGUCCCAGCUGUAAACGAUGCAGACUCGGUGAUGGACUAGCUUCAUGCUAGUCCAGUGCCGCAGGGAAGCCGUUAAGUCUGCCGCCUGGGUAGUACGGUCGCAAGACUG